Long non-coding RNA from Rhineura floridana, 1470 nucleotides. RefSeq lists it as uncharacterized. The transcript has 3 exons. The record is from RefSeq and is a predicted model, not a curated record. NCBI's taxonomy places the organism in Eukaryota, Metazoa, Chordata, Lepidosauria, Squamata, Rhineuridae.
CUCUAUAUUAAGUAAAUCUUGAGCAACCUUACAUACUGUUUGCUGGCUGACCUGUGAUAUAAUUUGGAAGAGGCCCUAUAAGUAGGAAUGGCGUUCAAGUCAAGAGGGUUCAAGAGACCCAGUGCCUGCAGGAGGAAGGGGAACACCACCAUCCCUUCCAGGGAAAGAGAGCCGUUUGCUGCUGCCUGCCUGCCUGCCUGCCUGCUUGCUGCUGCUGCUCGGCUACCACCACCACCACCCUUUCCUGGUUGGACUUCUGCUCUGCGGGGGUCACACCUUGCAGGCCCAGGCCCCAGUGGUGUACCAAGGGCGGAGCGGUGGGAGCGAUCUGCCCCAGGUUCAGGCAAUAAGGGGGUGCAUUGUCUGAAACACGCUCUCAGCGCUCGGAUCGGCUCAUAAGGAUGGACAGAGAGCCCAAGCGCAAGAUUGCCCGCCUCCAAAGCCUUGAAAAACUGCUAGGAGAACGCGUGACAAGAUCCUCGUCUCUCUCUGAAGAAACCAAAAGGGGGGAGAGGAGAGGCUUGAUCGCUUCCACCUCACCGAGCUUGCCUAGUCAUACACAUCGCUUCAAGUUAAAGUUGAAACGGACUAGCCCCAGCGGCUACCUGUCUGGGGCGUUAUAUUAAAAAAGGAGUGUGAAAUAAACGGUCAGGUGACCAAACAAGCCGAUCGUUCCAGCCGGUGGGGAGAAGCUGUUGAGGAAUGUGAGCCCGGUCAGUUUUGCCGCCCCAACAACGGCGGGGUGGGGUGCUACUAAGCCAAGGAAACUUUGUAAUGGACUUUAAAAAAAAAAGCGUUCACGGUUCAGCAAAGGAAAGGAGACCAUCACUUCCAGGGAAACCGAGAUCUCUUGCUGCUGUUUACUCAAAAAUGAUUACACUUGUCCCCACUUAAAAAAAAAAAAAAAAAAAGUCUACCAGAACCAGGAGAAAAGGGGACUCGUCGCGUUUGGGCGUCCCUGGCGACUUUUACUGGGACGGUCUACAGGUAUACUGUCGGUUGGUCACGUUGCACGUGCCAGAGGGAUGGGAAACGAGUGUGUACGGGUCGGGAAAGGCCCCCACGCAAGCACGCGUAAGUGAGCAAGCGCACACACCCCGGAGUGCACCUCUCCUUGGCUUUUGGGGGGGGUGCGGGGGAGAAGAUCUUGUCUGUGCGCUGGCCAGCAACUCGAGCCAAAGAGGCCACCCAAAAGCCUGGAGCCCCAAACCGGCUCGAUCUUGCCUUGGGUGCCCUCAGCCCAAAACUGACGAGCCCCCACCAGGCAAAACUUCAACUGUGAGGGAUUCUCUGCAGGCUGUUAACUGCAUGCAAGUCAGACCUUUGCCCCUUCUGUCUCCUCACAUCCUCUCAGUUCUCACCAUCAUCGACACACACACACAACCCAGCAAAGCAAAUAUCUACAACGCCUUAUCUGCAGGUUGCCACUUUUUUCCUUUUUUGUACUGUAAUAUUUUAUUUUAUUUUUAC